UGUACUACAUUCAUUCAGCAGAUAUUGAU
This 29-nucleotide non-coding RNA is filed under the name Homo sapiens (human). The record is from RNAcentral. Lineage: Eukaryota; Metazoa; Chordata; Mammalia; Primates; Hominidae.